Molecule: long non-coding RNA, 185 nt
Organism: Herpailurus yagouaroundi (jaguarundi)
Lineage: Eukaryota; Metazoa; Chordata; Mammalia; Carnivora; Felidae
Exons: 3
Source: RefSeq, a predicted model, not a curated record
GAUUUCAGAGGUGUGUUCCUCACAUCUGGCUCUGUGCCUUUUUUAGCCCUAGUACUCUCCAUCCUAAUCCUAGCAAUCAUCCCAACCCUACACACCUCCAAACAACAAGGAAUAAUGUUUCGACCACUAAGCCAAUGCUUAUUCUGACUCCUAGUAGCAGACCUCCUAACCCUAACAUGAAUUGG